This 495-nucleotide ribosomal RNA is filed under the name uncultured bacterium. RNAcentral describes it as "partial 16S ribosomal RNA". It matches the Rfam family "Bacterial small subunit ribosomal RNA", at positions 28 to 507 of the family's 1533-position model. The record is from RNAcentral.
GACGAACGCUGGCGGCGUGCCUAAUACAUGCAAGUAGAACGCUGAAGGAGGAGCUUGCUCUUCUGGAUGAGUUGCGAACGGGUGAGUAACGCGUAGGUAACCUGCCUGGUAGCGGGGGAUAACUAUUGGAAACGAUAGCUAAUACCGCAUAAUAGUAGAUGUUGCAUGAUAUUUACUUAAAAGGUGCAAUUGCACCACUACCAGAUGGACCUGCGUUGUAUUAGCUAGUUGGUGGGGUAACGGCUCACCAAGGCGACGAUACAUAGCCGACCUGAGAGGGGGGUCGGCCACACUGGGACUGAGACCCGGCCCAGGCUCCUACGGGAGGCAGCAGUAGGGAAUCUUCGGCGAUGGACGAAAGUCUGACCGGGCCACGCCGCGUGAGUGAAGAAGGUUUUCGGAUCGUAAAGCUCUGUUGUAAGGGAAGAACGAGUGUGGGAGUGGAAAGUUCACACUGUGACGGUAUCUUACCAGAAAGGGACGGCUAACUACGUG